CCUACGGGAGGCAGCAGUGGGGAAUAUUGGGCAAUGGGCGCAAGCCUGACCCAGCAAUGCCGCGUGAAGGAAGAAGGCUUUCGGGUUGUAAACUUCUUUGACAGGGGAAGAGCAGAAGACGGUACCCUGAAAACAAGCCACGGCUAACUACGUGCCAGCAGCCGCGGUAAUACGUAGGUGGCAGGCGUUAUCCGGAUUUACUGGGUGUAAAGGGCGUGUAGCCGGGAAGGCAAGUCCGAUGUGAAAUCUGGAGGCUCAACCUCCAAAUUGCAUUUGAAACUGUUUUGCUUGAGUACUGGAGAGGCAGACGGAAUGCCUUGUGUAGCGGUGAAAUGCGUAGAUAUAAGGAGGAACACCAGUGGCGAAGGCGGUCUGCUGGACAGCAACUGACGGUGAGGCGCGAAAGCGUGGGGAGCAAACAGGAUUAGAUACCCGAGUAGUC
RNAcentral lists this ribosomal RNA (442 nucleotides) under uncultured bacterium. RNAcentral's name for it is "partial 16S ribosomal RNA". It matches the Rfam family "Bacterial small subunit ribosomal RNA", at positions 338 to 795 of the family's 1533-position model. The record is from RNAcentral.